This 1052-nucleotide long non-coding RNA is filed under the name Homo sapiens (human). RNAcentral's name for it is "HSALNT0045155". Lineage: Eukaryota; Metazoa; Chordata; Mammalia; Primates; Hominidae. The record is from RNAcentral.
UGAUUUUUGAUGUCUACAUCUCUUGCUUACAUUUUACUUUGGAGGUUGCAAGAUCAACAUAACCUGAGUUUGGAAAAUAUUUAACAAAAUUCAAAAGAGGAAAAAAAAUCACUUCUAUUAAAAUGUACCUGAAUAAGAGGUAUAGAAAGCACAGAUGUGGUAAUGUUGAAGGAAAGAAGGCACACAUGGGAGCUUAUGCUGUAUAAUUCCAUUUAUACAAUGUAUCAACACAGGUGCAAAAAGUACAAUUAGCUGCUACAUCUCUGAGAAGAAAGAAUUUUGCUGAUGAUCUAACAGAACUUGUGAGUCAUCCAUCAGGAGAUGUUUUAAUGGUGCCAAGAACUCAGUAAAGUCUGUGAUGGAUUUGGCAAGGUCAUUUGUCAUUUUCACAUCAGCAUGGUUUUGGCACCUGCUUCUCAGUAAAGAAUUGCACUGUUGGAAACUCACUUUUGACAAAGAUGGUCUGCUUCUGACCAAAUGGUUUAUGCUACAGCAGAGAAGGAGAAGGAUGCUGAACCUUCAGAUAUCAGGCCAGCAUUCCCAAAAGAAAGAAGGAAGAAUGGUGAAAGGCAAAGGAUCAAAGAAAUAGCUGCAGUAUGGACAAAAUGCUGGAGUUGAGCAUCACUGGAAGGAAGACUCAGUUAAAAGAAAAAAAGAAAUCAUUGUUACAUUUAAGAAGAUGGACAUGGCAUGAUUUGAUACAGAUUGGCAUGAUGUAAGUUUAUGCAUGUGGCAGGACGGCUGUCUCAAUUUGUACUUGUAUUUGUGCAGACAUACUUGUAGGACAAGAGAAAAGAGAGCCAAUAGAUCAUUUAGCACUUGCUGGAAGAGAGUAAUUUACUAAUCCAUCAUUUCAUGGGGCUCAUGGAGUAUCAGAACAAAAGCCAAAUUUUGGCUGAAUGUACCUAGCUGUAUACUGCAAAGAAAUAUCAUUUUUUUUAUUACUUUGACAGAAGCCAGUCCAAAUAGCACACAGAAAAGAGCAAAUUGCUGUCUACAUUUGACUGUGUCCUGGAAGAGUAACUGAGUGCAAUAUCUUCUGAGAAAUAUAA